RNAcentral lists this long non-coding RNA (1209 nucleotides) under Brachypodium distachyon (stiff brome). Its description in RNAcentral is "long non-coding RNA (BDIS_LNC003163)". Lineage: Eukaryota; Viridiplantae; Streptophyta; Magnoliopsida; Poales; Poaceae. The record is from RNAcentral.
ACCAUCGUCGCUGCUGUGCUGUGGAACUUCGACGUGGUGGGAGUACUGCUGGAUGGUCAGCAGGCUGUGGAGCCAAAGCUGUCGUGUCUGCUGCAAAUGAAGAAUGGGCUCAAACUUAAAGUCCAGAAGCGAGAAAUGUAAUGUCUUUUGGGAUCUAGGCCGGCCAUGCAACUAUCGUGUCUUCUGCAGAUGAAGAAUGGGCGCAAACUAAUUGUCCGGAAGCGAGAAAUGCCUUGGGAUCUAGGACAGGGACUUAAAGAUAUGCUAUGCAUAAAAUCCACUAAUAUAAUUACCUGCCAAAAACAAACAACUAAAUUGAUUUCACUGUGACAAAUCUGAAUACUUAUGUGUGUGUUUAGUGUUCAAAGUUAUAAGAACUUGAACUAUGCAUUUAAGGACGACAUUUAUAUAGGAACAGGGGGAGCAUCUAAUAAUUCUAGCUUGAACGGGGCAACAAAGUAUGGACAAGCAGCCAGCAGGUUCUGGCUUUCCUGCGGAGUCCAACAUUGCUUUGUCUCCAAACAUACUCUGUCCAAAUUAUGCAUGAUUGAUUUUCCCUGAUGUUUUAUUUUUAAAUUUUUCAUUUUGUAGUCGUUUCUGGAAUGUGCAAAUCAUUCAUCUGUUAUUUUUGGUGUGUAUACAAAUAUCUGGAACAUGGAUUUGUAGUAUUGAGUAUGUGAACUAUUUGUGAUGCCAUUAUUUUCCUAGGGUCUCCAGCACCAUCAUGCAACACAUUAAUCAAUGGCUACUUGGUUAGAUCGAACUCUGUGCUACUUGGUUGCCGAUCGUGCUGAAGCGCACGUCUAUAAACUGGUGUUGAUCUCUGUAAGCUAGCAGUAUGGGGCUAACGAUUCCCACUGCUAGUUCAGUUCCCGCUUACGUACCGGAGAGAAGUAGCUGCCGGCGCCUCCCCGGCUCCGCCGCCCGCACGGCCCCACUGCAACUUCGCCGCCGGCGCGGAAAUGUCGCCGCCGAUGAGCGCGUCCUCCUCCUCCCUGCCUCCCUGGCCUCCGGUCGCCGGCGCUGCGCGCGUCCUCCUCCUGAUUUCCAGCCGGCCUCUCUUGAACUCACCCCCUACUCUGCGUUCGCCGCAAUCUGGUGCGUCAUCGGGGAUGGAGAAGGUCAGAACUCAGAAGCAGGAAAUUUGGGGAUCCCGUCGGCGGCGGAUUCUUGCAAGACUGGGAAGAAGGACGCUCGCGCUUGGGCUUU